Molecule: long non-coding RNA, 732 nt
Filed under: Lathyrus oleraceus (garden pea)
Lineage: Eukaryota; Viridiplantae; Streptophyta; Magnoliopsida; Fabales; Fabaceae
Description: Pisum sativum (pea) long non-coding RNA (PSAT_LNC035741)
Source: RNAcentral
UUGGAUCUGUUCUACUUUCACUCAUGAUCAUUAUUCUCAUGUUGUUACCAUUUUAUAUUCAUUUCCACCUGCCAUAUCCAUUCCUGUAAUGCACAUAUGAAACAAUAUACACAGUGUAUUCAUGACAACAUGUGAAACUUCAUCAUCAUCUUGCUACCAAACUUAAUACAUAUCUCCUUCUUCAAUAACCUACACCAUAACUUGCAUACACAUAAUAAACAUCUCUCAUCAUUUUAAAAUCAACUCACCUAUCUUCAUAUACACAUAUACCAUACUCACUCUCAUUUCAAAAAUGAAAAAAUAAGAUAAAAAAGCUACAUCUAAAAGAAAGGUAUUGAAACCAUACACUUAAACCUUCUCCUCCUCCAUAAAUCUCAAAACCAUAGCAGCCUCGCUAACUCCCUCCAAUGAACUCUUACCUUACCUCACAACACCACCACCUUCAUGGGACCACCACAACCACACGAAAUUCUCCAAUCAAUUUCGAUAUCAGUAGAGCAAGUAUUUAGUAUCCAAGAAUAACUCAACGAUUACGCAUUCGUGUCAGUUGGUGUAUUUUGUUUCUUUUCAAUUGUUGCCUCUUUGUGUUUGUGUUUGUUCUUUUUUCGCAUUUUCGAUUAACCUUUGUAUUGUGUUUUUCAGUGUGAUGUCUACCAUUUUCAGUUUCGUUGUGAUUUUGUUUGUAACUUUUUAAAUAUUUCAAAUAACAUGUUGUGUUGUUGUUUUGUUUCA